CCGACUAACCAUGCGAGUCCAGGGGGGCUCUGCCCACCGGCGGACGGCUCAGUAACACGUGGACAACCUGCCCUCGGGAGGGGGAUAACCCCGGGAAACUGGGGCUAAACCCCCAUAGGUCAUGGGUGCUGGAAGGCCCCGUGGCCGAAAUUCCGAAAGGAGCCCGAGGAUGGGUCUGCGGCCUAUCAGGUUGUAGUGGGGGUAACGGCCCCACUAGCCUACGACGGGUACGGGCCCUGGGAGGGGGAGCCCGGAGAUGGACUCUGAGACACGAGUCCAGGCCCUACGGGGCGCAGCAGGCGCGAAACCUUCGCAAUGCGGGAAACCGCGACGAGGGGACUCCCAGUGCCUACGCUCAGCGUAGGCUGUUCCCGAGCCUAAAAAGCUCGGGGAGUAAGGGCUGGGUAAGACGGGUGCCAGCCGCCGCGGUAAUACCCGCAGCCCGAGUGGUGGCCACUAUUAUUGGGCCUAAAGCGUCCGUAGCCGGCCCGGUAAAUGCCUGGGUAAAUCGUGGAGCCCAACUCCACGAAUUCCGGGUAGACUGCCGGGCUAGGGACCGGAGGAGGGAGAGGGUACUCCAGGGGUAGGGGUGAAAUCCUGUAAUCCCUGGAGGACCACCGGUGGCGAAGGCGCUCUCCUAGGACGGGUCCGACGGUGAGGGACGAAAGCCAGGGGAGCGAACCGGAUUAGAUACCCGGGUAGUCCUGGCCGUAAACGAUGUGGGCUUGGU
RNAcentral lists this ribosomal RNA (730 nucleotides) under uncultured prokaryote. Its description in RNAcentral is "bacterial SSU rRNA". It matches the Rfam family "Archaeal small subunit ribosomal RNA", at positions 40 to 772 of the family's 1478-position model. The record is from RNAcentral.